Molecule: long non-coding RNA, 576 nt
Filed under: Setaria viridis
Lineage: Eukaryota; Viridiplantae; Streptophyta; Magnoliopsida; Poales; Poaceae
Description: long non-coding RNA (SVIR_LNC005174)
Source: RNAcentral
CCACAAAGUAGAUAUCUUUAGCUCCAAGCCUUUUUGAUAUUUGGAGAUGGUAAUUUAUCUACUAUUUCCUUAUACAGAAGAUUAUAUGUUUGUAACGAAAAUGCAAAGAACCAUUGGUUUAAUUACCUACUCCCUCCGUCCCAAAUUAUACGUCGUUUUGGCUUUUCUAAGUUCAUAGAUAUUAUUAUGCAUCUAGUCAUCUAGAUAUAGUGUAUGUCUAGGUGCAUAAUAAUAUCUAUGAACCUAAAAAAGUCAAAACGACUUAUAAUUUGGAACGGAGGAAGUAGUUGUUGAUAACUAAUUUAAUGCUAGCCAGAUGAUAACUCUCUUGGUGCUGCUUAAAUGUACCUACUUGCACAAUUGCUAUAUGGAUCCGGAUGAUAACCCUCUUGCGCAACAUUUUGCUGCUGCUUAAACAUACCUACUCGUACAAUUACUAUUCAAAUUCAAGAGCCAAAUUUUGAACAUUUUAUUUCUUUAAGAAUAUGAAGUUAUAUAAAUCUAUCCAACUGUCACCUGCUAUGCUUGGUCAGUUGGUAUGUUUUUUUGUCCUAUGAUGGUUAACUAAUUUAGCUU